Molecule: long non-coding RNA, 1064 nt
Filed under: Homo sapiens (human)
Lineage: Eukaryota; Metazoa; Chordata; Mammalia; Primates; Hominidae
Description: long intergenic non-protein coding RNA 905
Source: RNAcentral
AGGACCUGGUCAGUUGGGUCCAGUCAGUGGGGGCCUGGUCAGUGGAGACCUAGGCCAUCAGUGGGUCCUGGAUAGUGAGGCCUGGUCAUUGGGGUCCUGGAGAUGGUGAAUUUCAGCCAGAGCGCCCAAAGAACUCGUGUCCCGCGCUCCUGAACGCCAUCAGCCGCCGCACCUCCAUCUUCCCUCCUCCCACGAGUCUCCUGCUCCCCGUGACUCUGGCCUCCUCGCAGUGUUGCUGGGCCACGUCAGGAAGUGCUGGAGGACGUGGCAUUGCACCAACACCAGGCGGCCAGCCGUGUGGCUCAUCCCGCAAAUCAGGCUCUUCCUGUGCAUGGAGAUGGAGUCCCUCUGGAGGCAGCCCGUGGCCCUGUUCUCGGGCAGGUGGAGCAUGGAGACGACUGGGAACUUCACUAGACACGCAUCCAGCCGGUUCAAGGGCUUGUCGCGCCGUGCACCAGCUUGCAGGAGAAAGCCCAACGCCUCGCCAAGCACGAAGGCCUCCCUUCCCGACUUGAUGAAGGCAGAGUAGCGGUUGAGGUUGCGGCUCACAGUGACCGAGCUCCUGCCCACGUGGGGACCCAGGGAGCCGUCGAGCUCCAGGUAUGCACCUCUGCCCAGUGCACCUGGAUCGUUCACCGUCAUGGAGCUGCCAUCCCACUUGUCGUCCCAGUCAUCAUCACUGCCCUAGCUGGCCUAGUUGCCACCAAGGAGCUGCUGAGGCCACGGCUUCAGGGCAUCCCUACCGCCUGGAAAUCCUGCGCUGGCUGCUGGAAGGCACUCUGUGGUGGCACCAGCUGCGGCUGCAGUAGCAGCUGGAAAGCACUGAGAGAUGGCUUCAAGGAGGCAGGCAGUGCACCGGGCAGGGCCUUGAAACCUCUGGGUGGUACAAUGGCCAUGGCACAGUGGGUCAAGGCACAGGGGCAGCCAUGGCGCGCUGGGCCAGUCCAGGGUUGCAGACCACUUGCACUGCAGAUAUAAGGCCAGGGUUGCUGAGGCCAUGAGCCCCUGCGAGUCAGCCCUUGAUGUCCUGCUCACUACACAGGCUCAGCACUUCAUGUUCUCAU